GGGGUUGUGGCUCAGUAGUAGAGCAUGUGCCUCGUAAGUAUGAGGUACUGGGUUCAAUCCUUAGCAUCACAU
This 72-nucleotide transfer RNA is filed under the name Ictidomys tridecemlineatus (thirteen-lined ground squirrel). RNAcentral describes it as "Spermophilus tridecemlineatus (thirteen-lined ground squirrel) tRNA". It matches the Rfam family "tRNA". Rfam says of the family: Transfer RNA (tRNA) molecules are approximately 80 nucleotides in length. Lineage: Eukaryota; Metazoa; Chordata; Mammalia; Rodentia; Sciuridae. The record is from Rfam by way of RNAcentral.